This 500-nucleotide ribosomal RNA is filed under the name uncultured eukaryote. RNAcentral's name for it is "SSU rRNA". It matches the Rfam family "Eukaryotic small subunit ribosomal RNA", at positions 36 to 543 of the family's 1831-position model. The record is from RNAcentral.
CUGUCCAGACUAGCCAUGCAUGUCUAAGUAUGAAUGUUAUACAGUGAAACUGCGAAUGGGCUCAUUAAAACAGUUAUAGUUUAUUUGAUAAUCAAACUUACAUGGAUAACCGUGGUAAUUCUAGAGCUAAUACAUGCUGGUUAGCCUGACUUUUAGGAAAGGCUGUAUUUAUUAGAUAACAAACCAAUAUUCCUUGUGUCUAUUGUGAUGACUCAUAAUAACUGAUCGAAUCGCAUGGACUUUGUCCGCGAUACAUCAUUCAAGUUUCUGCCCCAUCAGCUUUCGAUGGUAGUGUAUUGGACUACCAUGGCUUUAACGGGUAACGGAGGAUUAAGGUUCGAUUCCGGAGAGGGAGCCUGAGAAACGGCUACCACAUCUAAGGAAGGCAGCAGGCGCGUAAAUUACCCAAUCCUAAUUCAGGGAGGUAGUGACAAGAAAUAACGGACAGAGGCUUUUGCUUCUGGAUUGCAAUGAGUUGAAUUUAAACCCCUUGACGAGGA